GACGAACCGUGCGAACGUUGUUCGGAAUCACUGGGCUUAAAGGGCGCGUAGGCGGCCUGAUAAGUAGGGGGUGAAAUCCUGCGGCUUAACCGCAGGGCUGCCUUCUAAACUGUCAGGCUUGAGCACAGUAGAGGCAGGUGGAAUUCCCGGUGUAGCGGUGGAAUGCGUAGAGAUCGGGAAGAACAUCAGUGGCGAAGGCGGCCUGCUGGGCUGUUGCUGACGCUGAGGCGCGACAGCGUGGGGAGCAAACAGG
Molecule: ribosomal RNA, 253 nt
Filed under: uncultured bacterium
Lineage: Bacteria
Description: partial 16S ribosomal RNA
Rfam family: Bacterial small subunit ribosomal RNA
Source: RNAcentral